UACGGAAGGUGCGAGCGUUGUUCGGAAUGACUGGGCGUAAAGCGCACGUAGGCGGUUUUGUAAGUCGGAUGUGAAAUCCCUGGGCUCAACCCGGGAACUGCAUCCGAAACUGCUAAACUUGAAUGCUUGAGAGGUUGGUGGAAUUCCUGGUGUAGGAGUGAAAUCCGUAGAUAUCAGGAGGAACAUCGGAGGCGAAGGCGGCCAACUGGCGAUGCAUUGACGCUGAGGUGCGAAAGCGUGGGGAGCAAACAGG
RNAcentral lists this ribosomal RNA (253 nucleotides) under uncultured bacterium. RNAcentral's name for it is "partial 16S ribosomal RNA". It matches the Rfam family "Bacterial small subunit ribosomal RNA", at positions 524 to 776 of the family's 1533-position model. The record is from RNAcentral.